Molecule: long non-coding RNA, 7080 nt
Organism: Alligator mississippiensis (American alligator)
Lineage: Eukaryota; Metazoa; Chordata; Crocodylia; Alligatoridae
Exons: 3
Source: RefSeq, a predicted model, not a curated record
CCCUCUGCUCCUUAUCUGGAGGAGUGAGGGCUGGCUGACAAGGGAGGGUGAGCUGGGCCAGGGAUGCAGCCCAGUCUAUGGGGGCAGGACAGGGACUCCCCCCAAGGCAAACCCCGGCUGGGGUCUGGAACCAAGGAGCGGGGUUAAAUAUCCCUUCCCCUGCUAAAAUUUACUGCGGACUUUGACUGUGGACUACAAAUCCCAAAAGCACCUGGAAACAGGAAGAGGAAGUGAUAAGCAAUUCUGUAGAGUUCUGCAAUCCUGGACUUCAAAUCCCAGAGUUCUCAGGGGAGCAGGAAGAGGAAGUGAACACACAGUCAGAGAGCUGUGCUGUAGCACCCACUGGCUUCUGAUCUAAACUGCUGCAGGCAUGUGGCUGUAUUUCCUGAAUCAAAGCUGCUCAGUAGCACCCCUUUGGGUAUCUGUUGCCUUGCCAUCAGAUGGAUGGAAUGAAGAAGUAUGUGAUGAGCACAGCAAGGACUCUACAAAAGGCACAGGACAGCAGCUGCUUACUGUGACAACUUACCUCCAGCUAAGUGGAAAGAUGAGCAGCUGCUUGCAGAACCAAAGCCAAUCUUCUGCCUGGAUCAGUUGGAGAUGGUUCCUGUGAAAGUGAGGGCUGCAGUAAACGAUAUGUACUGAAUUAAUUGUACCUAUCACCAACCUCUUUCCAAAACUUACUGGGAAAUAUAUCUAUUUCUGCAACAACAAAAAAUCACCCACUAAUCAUCUUUUGAAGGUUAAAGGGAUUUAGAAAAUCAGAUCAGUCUAUUCAUAGGAGCUAUAGCACAGCUGAUGAGUUUAAAAAAAAUUCAAAUUACAUUUGUUUCCUUUCAAACUGCCUUCAGUCAAGUUUUUCAGAAAGUGUGUGUAUAUGCGUGUGGCUUUUGGUUUGUUUUUUUGUUGUUGUUGUUGGGUUUUUUUGUUGUUGUUAUUCUGGCGAUUUGGGGAUGAGUCAUUUUGUGAUUCAUUCUAUUCAGCUGCAUAAAUAAUAUUACAAAUCUGAUAGAGGAAUAAGCCGCCGUUCAGUAAUAUUUGGAUCUUUCCCCUCUCCUCUAGCUAAGGGUCCCCCACUUUAUCAUUCUUCUCUUUUGACUUCAAGGGAGGUUGAAGCUCCAUCAAAUCCCAUAACUUCUUGGGUGUGGGCAGCUUGUCUAGCCUCCUAACAGUGAGAGUGGAUAGGCAUGAAUUCCUGUUGUUCUUUCCUUUAACAUGGCCCAUUAAUUUUGGAGGCUCCAGACACUUGAUUGCAGUAGUUCAAGUAUGUCAAAAUACUACAGGGAUCCCCAUGAUUCACUCUCAGGAUUGAGGACUUAGAUGGGAGGUUAGGGGUUGUCUUGUGGCAAACUGAAAUACCAGGUACAAAAUCUUGCUUUUUAAAACAUCUUCCAACAAACAUUUUGGGGGAAAAUUAAUGUAAAAAAUAAAACUGACUCCCUAAUUUUGGCACUAAUUUGUUAUAUGGGGAUGCAGCGUAAUAUCUCCUGUGAUGAUAAGAAAAGGAGAGGGGAGAAUGCAGAAAGAAGCAAUUGACCUGAAAGUAGUUUGUUCCUGUAAAAGGGUUCAUACACAGCCAAACGCAUGUAUGAAUAUUCUGUACGUUGCAUGUUCUGGCUGGGGUCACAUCUCUGACACUGUUCUGUUAUACUGGUAUAAUUCAGAUUUGUCUUGGAUGGAGACUCUGUAGAGACAGCAAAUGAAUAUAGAGGUUCUGGGAGUUCUUUGCCAAAAAAUGUUGAACUUUUUUGCUGCAUGAUGCAGUAAGAUGUUUCAAAUGACAGAGUUAUUAUUCUUAUUAGAAAUAAUACCACCCAUCUUUCCUCAGAGAGAGACGGAGAAGUCCCAAUUGCUCCUUUCUUUAAGCUGAUCAUGGUGUUGCUUUUCCACUGAUCAAUUUCUGAGAGCCACAGGAAUACCUCAAGUAGAUGCCAGCUUCUCUUAACAAUCCCAAAUCAGAUUUUGGAACCUGGUUAUUUGUGAAAGGGAUUCAAAGUCAUGGCUUCCUACCUUUGCAGGGGAAUGGACUCCAAGGGCCAGGUGGCCCUUUCUAGUUCCUCUGCCAGGAAGCCCUCACAGAGUAGGAAGAAGAGGAGGAGGAACUUUAUAGACACACUAUUUCUCCAGUCCAAAGAGAAAUGGAGUGGGAACUCUAUCAUUGGUUUAAUAAAAGAGGGGAGCAAUAGCCCCUUUCCAGAGAGCACAUUUAGUUUAAGGAAAUAUGCCUAUUCUUAUGCUAGAUGAGGAAUUUCCGUAGGCCCAGCGCUCUUUAUUUCUCAACCCCAAAUUAAGGGUCAGUCCAUUCUCACUACUGUGGGGGUUUUCAGCACUACUCUGGGAUUCUUCCACUUUUUUUCCAGCACUGUCUGAUCUAUCUGACUGGCAUCUCUGGAGAAACAGGAUAUUUCAGGUCACACAUUGCUUUAUGAGAAAGCAAGCUCAUGAGAUGUUCUUGAAGACUUCAUGGCCAGGUACAGACAUUAUACAUUUACCUGAAUAAGUGAUCUGAAACUGGUCUAUACCCAGAACACAAGUUCAGCACAAAGACUGGCUUAAAAAUGAUAGACCCUGGUCUAGGAUUCUGUCUUCCUCUCCCCCUAACCAAAAGCCAAAUGUGUGUUCUGUUAGCUACUGAUCUAAACUACACUGCUUACAGAAAACUCUCCAUCUUAGAUCGAUUCCACCUCGGGCUUUUUGAAUGUCUGUACCUAGCCCAGGAGGGCAGAGGCCAUAGGAAGCCAUCAACUUGCCUCUUGUUAUCACAAACUCUUGCAGAAUAGAUCUAGGUGAGUGAAGGGCAUCUGGAACCUCUCAGGGCAGAACAAUCAAUGAGCUGAGGGAGUCCUGAUUUAAUUCUUUAUUCCCAUGAGGAAUAGAGCAUGGGGGAAGAAUGUUCUUCCUUUUCCCUCUACAUCAUACAAAGGAAUUGCUGGGGCAAUGUGCUUCUCCCCCAGGAGGCUAGGAAAUGGGUCACCAGCUGUUGGAGGAGUCUUCUCUCCCAUCCUCUUAUGCUUGGGAAUAGGAAAGGAGCUGGUCUGCAGGCCAAGCAGAGCAGCUGCUGCUGCAGUUGGCAAGAGUCAGGAUGGGUGAUUUACAUGUUCAACCAUACAAAUUCAGCUAAAAAUUACUUAGCUGAAUUCAGAUGGCCAAAUAUUGUCAGUAUUUGUGUUACUCAGCAUUUCCUUUUCAUUCUGUUCACCUGUGUCUUGCUGUAAAUUAUUCUGUGGGCUAGAGGGUGAGCUGCAGUAUACAUCUUUCCACACAUGGGCAAAGAGAUUACAAUACAUCAGUGCAGUGUAUCUGUAACUUUUAAAACUAGAAGAGCAUUUUGGAACUCAUGGUUUCAUAAUAUGACAUUUUCUUGGCAAAAAUAUUUGUUGUUUCCUUUAAUAGACACACUAUAAACAGGAAGAGGAGCUCAAAUAGGCAUUUUAAAAGGGUCACAACAUUGAAGUAAUGUGAUGCCAUUUUUUGCCUUCAUGACAUUGGUCUUGAGAUGGGUUAAAUGUGCCACUCUCAGUUGUGUGACUGUUAUCUUUGACACUGGAAUGAGUUAUCACAGAAUGGUAAUGCCUCUCAUGUUCUCUUCAUUAUACAUUCUCAUUUUCAUGACAAAGACUGUAAGGGGAACAGAAAAUGGUGCACAAUUAAUACAUUCUCCUGACAAUCUGGAGAUGGUAUUGCAUGGUCCUAGACAGAAGGCACAGCUGGGGACAUUGACAACAGCAUGUGCACAGCUGCUUGUUUUACAAAGUUUGAAAGAUUUUCCUAGUAGUCUUGAGUGUUUGUGUGUGUGGGUUCGGGUGUAUGUGGAUGUGGCCAAAGUGCGGCAUCUAAAUAUGUUAUUUUUAGUAUAUAAAAUAUUAUUUGGGAUUGUACAUAUGUCAUAAAGUUUUUCAAAAACUGCAUAAAGGACUUGUGAGAAAUGAUAAAUAUGGAUCAUAUAUGCCAUGAUGUAAAUAUUAAAGUUUUUAUAUUGAAUGCUCCAAUAGAUUAUCAUCAUUGUUAUCAUCCAUGGACAGCCAGUAUAGUUGACGUGCUCAUUUGUGUUUUAAAAUCUAAAUAAUAGGUCUUGAUUAGGUGGUGAGCAAAUUGAGCUUUACUGUUGUCUUUGGCUUCCUCAGAUUAUCACAAAACUAUACCCCACAAAAAAUCCCUGUGAGGGAAGACCAAAAACAAAAGAUAUUGCAUAGUACUGUACUUGCCCUGUGGAGUUAAAGAAACUGCUCUAUAGUUGCACUGCUAUUGGUCUCUUACUAUUCAAAACUUUGGCAUGCAUCAGUGAAUAAAGAAAAAAAAAUUAUGUAGCAGAAUAAGUGAGAGAAGAUUUUCUUUUAUAACCUCUCUGUUUAAGAAAGUCCCAGUUCUAUACAUCUUUAAAAAAUUCAAAAUCAUACAGUGAUACUCUUAGGUUUCUAUAUCUAAGUUUUGUCUCUCAAAGAUGACAUUUUUAGGGGUUGCUUUGUAGAAAAAGAAAAAAAAAUCUCUAAGCAAAACCAAAACAAAACAAAAAAGCAAAGGACUAAAAUUAUCAAAGCCAGGCAGUUCUGUUGCAGAUCAGUGAUACUAGCUCUAAUGAACAAGAGCUGAAUGGAUGCAUGUAGCUAGCUGAGACUGGGAUUCCCCCAGAAGAGGCUGCUGUAUGCAUUUCUAAAGAUUACUAUACUGAUGAAUUCAUAGAUAGUGUCAGCACUCAAAUAAAAACUAAUUUCUGUGGAAAAAUAAAAGCAUGUACUGUAUUUUAGAGACUGCUGUUUUAGACUGUUGUUCUUGUAGAAAAUACAAAUGAUAAGAGACACUAGGAGAUUCUAGACAUAUGGAAUAUUGACAGAAACCCUGAAAGAGGGUGAGUUUUACAAUAUAGAACAGUUGUUUUAAAAUUAUGACCAGCAUACAACUUGGGCAAAUGUAUGUGUAUGCUAGUACAGUUGUUUGGUAGCAGUGUGAAAUUUUCAAAUUUUCUCCACCAGCAAAAGCACUGAUAUAGAGACAGUUACUUUGGCAAACAGUGUUUUUACCAAGAUAGCUUAUUUUCUUUGGGAAACUAUAGCAACUAUAGUAUAGAAAAAUACUAGGCCUCAGAAUAAGUAAUCAGACCAAGCUCUAGUCGCAUAUGAAGGAUCAGGGGUUGAUUUUUGUGUAAAUCUCCUGUUACUGUUUGCAGGGAUGUCCCUGAGGGGAGUGAAUUGGGGUGACUGCUCUGGGCCCUGUGCUUUGGGGGGGCCCCACUGCAGCAGUGGCGCAGAGCUAGGCGGAGCGGGAGCUCCACGUCCAGCCCCUCGCAACUCGCCCCCACUCCUGCUGCCAAUGCCGCUGCUGCCGACAGCAGCACCAGCUUCUUCGGAUCUGGGAUUGGAGUGCGGCCGGGGCCCUGCAUGGGCUGACUUGUCCCUGGCCCCGCACCCUGCUCGGGUCAUCUCUGACUGUUUGUACAAUGAAAGCCUAAGACUACUACAUGGGUAUUGGAUUCAGAAGCUAGAGAGAAGCCAGUGCCCCAUGUCACUGAGCAAUAAAUAAUAGACUAAUGCUGCCGGGCAUUCUGCCUUCUCUAGGUGGGAAGAGAGCAUGGAUCCUCUAUGUUGAAGGAGUAGGGAGAAAAUGUGGUGAGAUGGAAGUAGUGGUUUAGCACGUGGACUCAAAGGAGAAGAUUUAAGAUGGAAGAUUAAAGCAAAGGCUUUUCAAGAUGGUUGGAAAUACAGUUGUUAGGCAGGGGAAAAAAAGUCAGCGAAAGAAAUGGUCAUUAUACACAGAAAACAGGAAACGCACUGUAUAUCCCAUGCUAAUUUUGACCCAAACUCUAAAAGAAUUUAAGAAGAAAAGAUUGGUAUUUUGAAAUAUAUAUUUUUUAGAGUUUUAAUAAUUAAAUUACACUGAGAAUACUCUCUAGUUUAGAAAUAUAUUUGUUGAAGAAAAGGAGAACAGAAACUGAAAACAGUAGUUUUAAGGCCCCCAGGGCCAAAAGAAGACAUGAAAUGUUCACUUUGUGACCUGAAAGGACAAGUAGUAGAUCAAAGACAUGGUUUUGCAUUAGAAUUGAAGGGAAAGGGGAUAGAUGUCUCAGAGCUUGUAAUCAAUAAACAGUAGCAUGCUGAUUUAUAAUGCCACAGUAGGAUUCAGAUGAUGACACCUUCAGAAAUGAAAGCCAAAGAAAAAAUGGCAGAAAAAGAUAAGCAACCAUGACACAAGAGUGAUAGAACCGAAAAGUGGAAUGUUUAUUUAGUCUCAGACUCAAUGCAUCUUUGAGACUAAAAUUUGAAGAUGACUUGGAAAAUAAGUUACUGCAUUAAAAAAACGACAGGUUUGCAAUAUAUCUGGCAAAGCAGCAAAAAUAUACAGAGAAAUAGUUUUAAAUGGUCAAAUAAAAAUGCAAUAGCUUGCUUUAUUUUUAGUCCUCCUUUUAAAAUUUGUCUCAACACUGUUGAAUUUUUAAGCACUCUGGAAGCAGGCUUAGGUCUUCCUUGGUGAGAGCAUUACCACAGAAAUGUAAUAUAUGUGUUCCGUAUGGUUUCUUGCAUUAUGUGUGUGGGUUGUGGUUGUUGCUUGAGUUCCCAUGAUUACUGAGUGAGGAAGUUGGGUAUAAUUCCUGGCAGUGUGGUAGUUUAUCCAUUACAUUAAAGAACAGCUCCUAUUUCAAAAUGUUUUUCUGAGAUCAUUACAAAAAUAAAAAACAAAUGGCAAGGUUAUCAGCUCUCAUUACCAAUUGCCCAGCAAAUGUAAAAACACUAAAAAUAGCCACAGGAAGCAAUAAUUUCUAUGACAAAUUAUAGAGCUGUUUACUUAGUGUGCUAAGUAAUAUAUUUUUGAUCAAAGAUAAACAGUUUAAAAAGUUACAUUUGUUGUGUUGUGGAGGAAAAAGGAAAUUGCUAUUCCCUGCAGGCUGAUGUACCUUGUAAAGCAAUCUGUCUUCAAACCCAGAAUGAAAGAGAGCCAAAAAAACUCUCUGAAUUACAUGACGAGGCCCUUGAGAUGCUGCUAGUUGCUUUUUACUGUGGAGGACCACAGAUGUCUCAUGUUGUGGGUCAGACUGUGCAUUUUCCUUGUUUUUUAAAACAUAUUGCAAAGCAGUCUUGAUUUUUAUAUGUC